Oncorhynchus tshawytscha (Chinook salmon) is the source of this 269-nucleotide long non-coding RNA. The record is from Ensembl. Lineage: Eukaryota; Metazoa; Chordata; Actinopteri; Salmoniformes; Salmonidae.
GGGAAGGAUGAGGUCAGAGUGGGAAGGAUGAGGUCAGAGUGGGAAGGAUGAGGUCAGAGUGGGAAGGAUGUGGUCAGAGUGGGAAGGAUGUGGUCAGAGUGGGAAGGAUGUGGUCAGAUUGGGAAGGAUGUGGUCAGAUUGGGAAGGAUGUGGUCAGCGUGGGAAGGAUGAGGUCAGAGUGGGAAGGAUGAGGUCAGAGUGGGAAGGAUGAGGUCAGAGUGGGAAGGAUGAGGUCAGAGUGGGAAGGAUGAGGUCAGAGUGGGAAGGAU